Molecule: unclassified non-coding RNA, 400 nt
Filed under: soil metagenome
Description: partial contains 5.8S ribosomal RNA, internal transcribed spacer 2, and large subunit ribosomal RNA
Rfam family: 5.8S ribosomal RNA (bases 1-122)
Source: RNAcentral
GAUGAAGAACGUAGCGAAAUGCGAUACUUGGUGUGAAUUGCAGAAUCCCGUGAACCAUCGAGUCUUUGAACGCAAGUUGCGCCUCAAGCCAUUAGGUUGAGGGCACGUCUGCCUGGGCGUCACAUAUCGUUGCCUGAUGCCAGUUUCCUCGUGAAGGGUGACUGUGCAGGGCGAAUGAUGGCUUCCCGUGAGCAUUGUUGUCUCAUGGUUGGUUGAAAAUUGAGUCCUUGGUAGGGAGCGCCGUGAUAGAUGGUGGUUGAGUGACGAACGAGACCCAAUCAUGUGAGACCCCUACCGAAUUUGGCCUUCAUGACCCACAUGCGUCUUUGGAACGCUCAUGACGAGACCUCAGGUCAGGCGGGGCUACCCGCUGAGUUUAAGCAUAUCAAUAAGCGGAGGA